This 249-nucleotide ribosomal RNA is filed under the name uncultured bacterium. Its description in RNAcentral is "partial 16S ribosomal RNA". It matches the Rfam family "Bacterial small subunit ribosomal RNA", at positions 334 to 600 of the family's 1533-position model. The record is from RNAcentral.
GGUCCCUACGGGGCGCAGCAGUGGGGGAUAUUGCACAAUGGGGGAAACCCUGAUGCAGCGACGCCGCGUGAGCGAUGAAGUAUUUCGGUAUGUAAAGCCCUAUCAGCAGGGAAGAAAAUGACGGUACCUGACUAAGAAGCCCCGGCUAACUACGUGCCCGCAGCCGCGGUAAUACGUAGGGGGCAAGCGUUAUCCGGAUUUACUGGGUGUAAAGGGAGCGGGGACGGCAGUGCAAGUCUGAAGUGAAAG